This 2641-nucleotide long non-coding RNA is filed under the name Citrus x clementina. RNAcentral's name for it is "Citrus clementina (C. clementina) long non-coding RNA (CCLE_LNC005120)". Lineage: Eukaryota; Viridiplantae; Streptophyta; Magnoliopsida; Sapindales; Rutaceae. The record is from RNAcentral.
CCCACCCGUUUUUUGGCCAUUUUUCCGCUGGGGGGCCUUGGCGCCCCGACCUUCGGGGGCUAAUUUUUGGGCGCGGCUGUGACCGUGGCCUAUUUUUGGCACACGGAGGCCGCCCGCAAAGUCUGGGGCCAUUCCGAGUCCGGCGGACGAACUUCGCCCACGCCCCCAACCAGGCUAUAGCCCACCCGUUUUUUGGCCAUUUUUCCGCUGGGGGGUCUUGGCGCCCCGACCUUCGGGGGCUAAUUUUUGGGCGCGGCUGUGCCCGUGGCCUAUUUUUGGCACACGGAGGCCGCCCGCAAAGUCUGGGGCCAUUCCGAGUCCGGCGGACGAACUUCGCCCACGCCCCCAACAAGGCUAUAGCCCACCCGUUUUUUGGCCAUUUUUCCGCUGGAGGGUCUUGGCAACCCGACCUUCGGGGGCUAAUUUUUGGGCGCGGCUGUGUCCGUGGCCUAUUUUUGGCACACGGAGGCCGCCCGCAAAGUCUGGGGCCAUUCCGAGUCCGGCGGACGAACUUCGCCCACGCCCCCCGCCAAGGCUAUAGCCCACCCGUUUUUUGGCCAUUUUUCCGCUGGAGGGGCUUGGCGCCCCGACCUUUGGGGGCUAAUUUUUGGGCGCGGCUGUGCCCGUGGCCUAUUUUUGGCACACGGAGGCCGCCCGCAAAGUCUGGGGCCAUUCCGAGUCCGGCGGACGAACUUCGCCCACGCCCCCAACGAGGCUAUAGCCCACCCGUUUUUUUGCCAUUUUUCCGCUGGGGGGUCAUGGCAGCCCGACCUUCGGGCGCUAAUUUUUGGGUGCGGCUGUGCCCGUGGCCUAUUUUUGGCACACGGAGGCCGCCCGCAAAGUCUGGGGCCAUUCCGAGUCCGGCGGACGAACUUCGCCCACGCCCCCAACAAGGCUAUAGCCCACCCAUUUUUUGGCCAUUUUUCCGCUGGGGUGUCUUGGCGGCCCAACCUUCGGGGGCUAAUUUUUGGGCGCGGCUGUGCCCGUGGCCUAUUUUUGGCACACGGAGGCCGCCCGCAAAGUCUGGGGCCAUUCCGAGUCCGGCGGACGAACUUCGCCCACGCCCCCAACCAGGCUAUAGCCCACCCGUUUUUUGGCCAUUUUUCCGCUGGGGGGUCUUGGCGCCCCGACCUUCGGGGGCUAAUUUUUGGGCGCGGCUGUGACCGUGGCCUAUUUUUGGCACACGGAGGCCGCCCGCAAAGUCUGGGGCCAUUCCGAGUCCGGCGGACGAACUUCGCCCACGCUCCACGCCAAGGCUAUAGCCCACCCGUUUUUUGGCCAUAUUUCCGCUGGGGGGUCUUGGCGCCCCGACCUUCGGGGGCUAAUUUUUGGGCGCGGCUGUGCCCGUGGCCUAUUUUUGGCACACGGAGGCCGCCCGCAAAGUCUGGGGCCAUUCCGAGUCUGGCGGACGAACUUCGCCCACGCCCCCCGCCAAGGCUAUAGCCCACCCGUUUUUUGGCCAUUUUUCCGCUGGGGGGUCUAGGCGCCCCGACCUUCGGGGGCUAAUUUUUGGACGCGGCAGUGCCCGUGGCCUAUUUUUGGCACACGGAGGCCGCCCGCAAAGUCUGGGGCCAUUCCGAGUCCGGCGGACGAACUUCGCCCACGCCCCCCGCCAAGGCUAUAGCCCACCCGUUUUUUGGCCAUUUUUCCGCUGGGGGGUCUUGGCAGCCCGACCUUCGGGGGCUAAUUUUUUGGCGCGGCUGUGCCCGUGGCCUAUUUUUGGCACACGGAGGCCGCCCGCAAAGUCUGGGGCCAUUCCGUGUCCGGCGGACAAACUUCGCCCACGCCCCCCGCCAAGGCUAUAGCCCACCCGUUUUUUGGCCAUUUUUCCGCUGGGGGGUCUAGGCGCCCCGACCUUCGGGGGCUAAUUUUUGGGCGCGGCUGUGCCCGUGGCCUAUUUUUGGCACACGGAGGCCGCCCGCAAAGUCUGGGUCCAUUCCGAGUCCGGCGGACGAACUUCGCCCACGCCCCCCGCCAAGGCUAUAGCCCACCCGUUUUUUGGCCAUUUUUCCGCUGGGGGGUCUUGGCAGCCCGACCUUCGGGGGCUAAUUUUUGGGCGCGGCUGUGCCCGUGGCCUAUUUUUGGAACACGGAGGCCGCCCGCAAAGUCUGGGGCCAUUCCGAGUCCGGCGGACGAACUUCGCCCACGCCCCCAACAAGGCUAUAGCCCACCCGUUUUUUGGCCAUUUUUCCGCUGGGGUGUCUUGGCGGCCCAACCUUCGGGGGCUAAUUUUUGGGCGCGGCUGUGCCCGUGGCCUAUUUUUGGCACACGGAGGCCGCCCGCAAAUUCUGGGGCCAUUCCGAGUCCGGCGGACGAACUUCGCCCACGCCCCCAACCAGGCUAUAGCCCACCCGUUUUUUGGCCAUUUUUCCGCUGGGGGGUCUUGGCGCCCCGACCUUCGGGGGCUAAUUUUUGGGCGCGGCUGUGACCGUGGCCUAUUUUUGGCACACGGAGGCCGCCCGCAAAGUCUGGGGCCAUUCCGAGUCCGGCGGACGAACUUCGCCCACGCCCCACGCCAAGGCUAUAGCCCACCCGUUUUUUGGCCAUUUUUCCGCUGGGGGGUCUUGGCAGCCCGACCUUCGGGAGCUAAUUUUUGGUCACGGCUGUGCCCGUGGCCUAUUUUUGGCACACGGAGGCCGCC